Molecule: ribosomal RNA, 511 nt
Filed under: Candida albicans
Lineage: Eukaryota; Fungi; Ascomycota; Pichiomycetes; Serinales; Debaryomycetaceae
Description: eukaryotic LSU rRNA
Rfam family: 5.8S ribosomal RNA (bases 143-296)
Source: RNAcentral
AAACGGCAAUUGCUUAUUGCACCACAUGUGUUUUUCUUUGAAACAAACUUGCUUUGGCGGUGGGCCCAGCCUGCCGCCAGAGGUCUAAACUUACAACCAAUUUUUUAUCAACUUGUCACACCAGAUUAUUACUAAUAGUCAAAACUUUCAACAACGGAUCUCUUGGUUCUCGCAUCGAUGAAGAACGCAGCGAAAUGCGAUACGUAAUAUGAAUUGCAGAUAUUCGUGAAUCAUCGAAUCUUUGAACGCACAUUGCGCCCUCUGGUAUUCCGGAGGGCAUGCCUGUUUGAGCGUCGUUUCUCCCUCAAACCGCUGGGUUUGGUGUUGAGCAAUACGACUUGGGUUUGCUUGAAAGACGGUAGUGGUAAGGCGGGAUCGCUUUGACAAUGGCUUAGGUCUAACCAAAAACAUUGCUUGCGGCGGUAACGUCCACCACGUAUAUCUUCAAACUUUGACCUCAAAUCAGGUAGGACUACCCGCUGAACUUAAGCAUAUCAAUAAGGCGGAGGAA